AGUGAACGCUGGCGGUAGGCCUAACACAUGCAAGUCGAACGGCAGCACAGUAAGAGCUUGCUCUUACGGGUGGCGAGUGGCGGACGGGUGAGGAAUACAUCGGAAUCUACUUUUUCGUGGGGGAUAACGUAGGGAAACUUACGCUAAUACCGCAUACGACCUACGGGUGAAAGCAGGGAAUCUUCGGACCUUGCGCGAUUGAAGGAGCCGAUGUCGGAUUAGCUAGUUGGCGGGGUAAAGGCCCACCAAGGCGACGAUCCGUAGCUGUUCUGAGAGGAUGAUCAGCCACACUGGAACUGAGACACGGUCCAGACUCCUACGGGAGGCAGCAGUGGGGAAUAUUGGACAAUGGGCGCAAGCCUGAUCCAGCCAUACCGCGUGGGUGAAGAAGGCCUUCGGGUUGUAAAGCCCUUUUGUUGGGAAAGAAAAGCAGCAGGUUAAUACCCCGCUGUUCUGACGGUACCCAAAGAAUAAGCACCGGCUAACUUCGUG
Molecule: ribosomal RNA, 492 nt
Filed under: uncultured bacterium
Lineage: Bacteria
Description: partial 16S ribosomal RNA
Rfam family: Bacterial small subunit ribosomal RNA
Source: RNAcentral